This 794-nucleotide ribosomal RNA is filed under the name uncultured bacterium. RNAcentral's name for it is "bacterial SSU rRNA". It matches the Rfam family "Bacterial small subunit ribosomal RNA", at positions 8 to 796 of the family's 1533-position model. The record is from RNAcentral.
AGAGUUUGAUCAUGGCUCAGAUUGAACGCUGGCGGCAUGCCUUACACAUGCAAGUCGAACGGUAACAGGGAGCUUGCUCCGCUGACGAGUGGCGAACGGGUGAGUAAUAUAUCGGAACGUACCUUUGAGUGGGGGAUAACUAGUCGAAAGAUUAGCUAAUACCGCAUACGAUCUACGGAUGAAAGUGGGGGAUCGCAAGACCUCAUGCUCAUAGAGCGGCCGAUAUCUGAUUAGCUAGUUGGUGAGGUAAAGGCUCACCAAGGCUUCGAUCAGUAGCUGGUCUGAGAGGACGACCAGCCACACUGGGACUGAGACACGGCCCAGACUCCUACGGGAGGCAGCAGUGGGGAAUUUUGGACAAUGGGGGCAACCCUGAUCCAGCAAUGCCGCGUGAGUGAAGAAGGCCUUCGGGUUGUAAAGCUCUUUUGUCAGGGAAGAAACGGGGGUUCCUAAUACGAGCCCCUAAUGACGGUACCUGAAGAAUAAGCACCGGCUAACUACGUGCCAGCAGCCGCGGUAAUACGUAGGGUGCAAGCGUUAAUCGGAAUUACUGGGCGUAAAGCGUGCGCAGGCGGUUAUGUAAGACAGGUGUGAAAUCCCCGGGGCUUAACCUGGGAAUGGCAUUUGUGACUGCAUAGCUAGAGUGUGUCAGAGGGGGGUAGAAUUCCACGUGUAGCAGUGAAAUGCGUAGAGAUGUGGAGGAAUACCGAUGGCGAAGGCAGCCCCCUGGGAUAACACUGACGCUCAUGCACGAAAGCGUGGGGAGCAAACAGGAUUAGAUACCCUAGUAGUCC